ACCAGACUCCUACGGGAGGCAGCAGUGGGGAAUAUUGCACAAUGGGGGAAACCCUGAUGCAGCGACGCCGCGUGAGCGAAGAAGUACCUCGGUAUGUAAAGCUCUAUCAGCAGGGAAGAAGAUGACGGUACCUGACCAAGAAGCUCCGGCUAAAUACGUGCCAGCAGCCGCGGUAAUACGUAUGGAGCAAGCGUUAUCCGGAUUUAUUGGGUUUAAAGGGUGCGUAGGCGGAAUAUCAAGUCAGCGGUAAAAAUUCGGGGCUCAACCCCGUCGUGCCGUUGAAACUGAUGUUCUUGAGUGGGGGAGAAGUAUGCGGAAUGCGUGGUGUAGCGGUGAAAUGCGUAGAUAUCAGGAGGAACACCGGUGGCGAAGGCGGCCUGCUGGACUGCGACUGACGUUGAGGCCCGAAAGCGUGGGGAGCAAACAGGAUUAGAUACCCGUGUA
RNAcentral lists this ribosomal RNA (444 nucleotides) under uncultured bacterium. RNAcentral's name for it is "partial 16S ribosomal RNA". It matches the Rfam family "Bacterial small subunit ribosomal RNA", at positions 330 to 792 of the family's 1533-position model. The record is from RNAcentral.